ACAUCUCUCCUACAUUCCUUAUCCUUAAACACAAGAAGUUGUGAAGAAGCUUUGUGAUCAAGGCUCGGGAAACUCGUAGCAACUUCGUAUCAUCGCUAUAGUGUCAUAAUUGUUGAUUGGAUUAUGGAAGAGGAUGGCGGAAUCUGGAGUUUUGAGUUACCAAGGAGCCAUGCAAGCUUAGGAAGGUGCGGAGGUAAGGACAAGCUCAGGAUAGGAAAGCCCUUCAGGCAGCAAGUUAGAGAGUAAGAUCUUGACAGGCAGAGCAGAAGAACCCUCUCAGUAGGAUCGCUAGUUUCAGCGGGACGUCAGCGAGUACCAUUAUACCGGGCUUGCUAAUUGGGUAUUUAUUGAGUCUGCAGGUUAUGUAAAUGACAGAUGUACGUACUCUUAGAGGCUCCUAGAUAGUGUAGUGGGUGUCGGAGUCAUGCAUGAUUUCAUUAUACUUAUGAUACACAUGUUAUAGCCUGGGCGGCUAUAUGAUAUUUUAAAAUGUUCAUGUUGCAGCCUUGUCGGCUAGCUUAUGUAUACAUUCGUUCACAAAGAGGUUAUGUUAUCCUUGUGUUGGGCCUU
Molecule: long non-coding RNA, 570 nt
Organism: Lycium barbarum (goji berry)
Lineage: Eukaryota; Viridiplantae; Streptophyta; Magnoliopsida; Solanales; Solanaceae
Exons: 3
Source: RefSeq, a predicted model, not a curated record